CACCAAAUAAUGGGGCAUCCCACAUUAAUUUUGGCAUGGAAUUCCUUCCAAGAGAAGGACUACACAUCCUCUUCCAUGUCUCACAUCCCAGGGCACCAUCAGAUGGCGCACAAAUUCAAGGAACAAGUGGAACAUGUAAGAAUUUUAAGAUAAGUAAAGGAGAAGGACUCCUCUCCUUAAAUUCCAAAAUAAAUGUGACGCCUCCAAUAUUC
Molecule: long non-coding RNA, 212 nt
Filed under: Elaeis guineensis (African oil palm)
Lineage: Eukaryota; Viridiplantae; Streptophyta; Magnoliopsida; Arecales; Arecaceae
Description: long non-coding RNA (EGUI_LNC033855)
Source: RNAcentral